This 464-nucleotide ribosomal RNA is filed under the name uncultured bacterium. RNAcentral describes it as "partial 16S ribosomal RNA". It matches the Rfam family "Bacterial small subunit ribosomal RNA", at positions 28 to 506 of the family's 1533-position model. The record is from RNAcentral.
GAUGAACGCUGGCGGCGUGCUUAACACAUGCAAGUCGAACGGAAAGGCCCAAGCUUGCUUGGGUACUCGAGUGGCGAACGGGUGAGUAACACGUGGGUGAUCUGCCCUGCACUUCGGGAUAAGCCUGGGAAACUGGGUCUAAUACCGGAUAGGACCACAUUUUGGAUGGUGUGGUGGAAAGUUUUUCGGUGUGGGAUGAGCUCGCGGCCUAUCAGCUUGUUGGUGGGGUAAUGGCCUACCAAGGCGUCGACGGGUAGCCGGCCUGAGAGGGUGUACGGCCACAUUGGGACUGAGAUACGGCCCAGACUCCUACGGGAGGCAGCAGUGGGGAAUAUUGCACAAUGGGCGCAAGCCUGAUGCAGCGACGCCGCGUGGGGGAUGACGGCCUUCGGGUUGUAAACUCCUUUCGCUAGGGACGAAGCGCAAGUGACGGUACCGGGAGAAGAAGCACCGGCUAACUACGU